RNAcentral lists this ribosomal RNA (627 nucleotides) under uncultured fungus. Its description in RNAcentral is "eukaryotic LSU rRNA". The stretch from base 232 to 385 matches the Rfam family "5.8S ribosomal RNA". Lineage: Eukaryota; Fungi. The record is from RNAcentral.
UCUUGGUCAUUUAGAGGAAGUAAAAGUCGUAACAAGGUUUCCGUAGGUGAACCUGCGGAAGGAUCAUUAAAGAGACGUUGCCCUUCGGGGUAUACCUCCCACCCUUUGUUUAUUAUACCUUUGUUGCUUUGGCGGGCCCGUCCUCGGACCACCGGCUUCGGCUGGUCAGUGCCCGCCAGAGGACCUAAAACUCUGUUUGUUCAUAUUGUCUGAGUACUAUAUAAUAGUUAAAACUUUCAACAACGGAUCUCUUGGUUCUGGCAUCGAUGAAGAACGCAGCGAAAUGCGAUAAGUAAUGUGAAUUGCAGAAUUCAGUGAAUCAUCGAAUCUUUGAACGCACAUUGCGCCCCCUGGUAUUCCGGGGGGCAUGCCUGUUCGAGCGUCAUUACAACCCUCAAGCUCUGCUUGGUAUUGGGCUCUGCCGGUCCCGGCAGGCCUUAAAAUCAGUGGCGGUGCCAUUCGGCUUCAAGCGUAGUAAUUCUUCUCGCUUUGGAGACCCGGGUGCGUGCUUGCCAGCAACCCCCAAUUUUUUCAGGUUGACCUCGGAUCAGGUAGGGAUACCCGCUGAACUUAAGCAUAUCAAUAAGCGGAGGAAAAGAAACCAACAGGGAUUGCCCCAGUAACGGC